UUGAAGUUGUCUGAAGAUUCUUCAAUCACUAUGUCAAGUGACACAGGUAUUUCUCUUUCUUCAUAUGAUGAAGAUCAGGGAUCUAAACUUAUCCGAAAAGCUAGAGAGGCACCUUUUGUCUCCAUUGAAAUGGCAGGUUUUGCAGCAAUUGUUGCAUAUGGAUUAUAUAGAUUGAAGAGCAGGGGACAUACUAAAAUGUCUGUUCACCUGAUCCACAUGCAUGUGGCAGCCCAAGGCUUUGUUGUGGGAGCAAUGACUCUUGGUAUGGGCUAUUUCCUGUAUCAAGAAUUCUGGGGGAAACCUAAACCUUAGAAGAGAAGAUGCUGUCUUGGUCAUCUUGGUGGUGCUUGCUUUAGUUAGACAUCUCAUAUUGA
This 374-nucleotide long non-coding RNA is filed under the name Bos taurus (domestic cattle). RNAcentral's name for it is "long non-coding RNA NONBTAT016422". The record is from RNAcentral. Lineage: Eukaryota; Metazoa; Chordata; Mammalia; Artiodactyla; Bovidae.